This 234-nucleotide signal recognition particle RNA is filed under the name Chlorocebus sabaeus (green monkey). RNAcentral's name for it is "Metazoan signal recognition particle RNA". It matches the Rfam family "Metazoan signal recognition particle RNA". From Rfam's summary of the family: The signal recognition particle (SRP) is a universally conserved ribonucleoprotein. It is involved in the co-translational targeting of proteins to membranes. The record is from Rfam by way of RNAcentral. Lineage: Eukaryota; Metazoa; Chordata; Mammalia; Primates; Cercopithecidae.
GCCGGGCGAGGUGGCGGGUGCCUGUAGUCCCAGCUACUCCGGAGGCUGAGGCAGGAGAAUGGCGUGAACCCGGGAGGCGGAGCUUGCAGUGAGCCGAGAUCCGGCCACUGCAUUCCAGCCUGGGCGACAGAGCGAGACUCUGUCUCCCACUGUCGCCCAAGCUGGAGUGCAAUGGCGUGAUCUCGGCUCACUGCAGCCUCUGCCUCCCAGGUUCAAGCGAUUCUCCUGCCUCAG